This 491-nucleotide ribosomal RNA is filed under the name uncultured bacterium. RNAcentral describes it as "partial 16S ribosomal RNA". It matches the Rfam family "Bacterial small subunit ribosomal RNA", at positions 28 to 507 of the family's 1533-position model. The record is from RNAcentral.
GAUGAACGCUGGCUACAGGCUUAACACAUGCAAGUCGAGGGGAAACGACGGGGAAGCUUGCUUCCCCGGGCGUCGACCGGCGCACGGGUGAGUAACGCGUAUCCAACCUGCCUCUGACUGAGGGAUAACCCGUCGAAAGUCGGCCUAAUACCUCAUGGCAUCGUCUGCGGGCAUCCAACGACGAUUAAAGAUUUCAUCGGUCAGGGAUGGGGAUGCGUCUGAUUAGCUUGUUGGCGGGGUAACGGCCAACCAAGGCUACGAUCAGUAGGGGUUCUGAGAGGAAGGCCCCCCAGAUUGGAACUGAGACACGGUCCACACUCGUACGGGAGGCAGAAGUGAGGAAUAUUGGUCAAUGGGAGGGAGACUGAACCAGCCAAGUAGCGUGCAGGAUGACGGCGCUAUGGGUUGUAAACUGCUUUUAUGCGGGGAUAAAGUGAGGGACGUGUCCUUCAUUGCAGGUACCGCAUGAAUAAGGACCGGCUAAUUCCGUG